UGGGCGUAAAGCGUGCGUAGGCGGUUUCGUAAGUCGUGUGUGAAAGGCGGGGGCUCAACCCCCGGACUGCACAUGAUACUGCGAGACUAGAGUAAUGGAGGGGAACCGGAAUUCUCGGUGUAGCAGUGAAAUGCGUAGAUAUCGAGAGGAACACUCGUGGCGAAGGCGGGUUCCUGGACAUUAACUGACGCUGAGCACGAAGGCCAGGGAGCGAAAGGG
This 219-nucleotide ribosomal RNA is filed under the name uncultured bacterium. RNAcentral describes it as "partial 16S ribosomal RNA". It matches the Rfam family "Bacterial small subunit ribosomal RNA", at positions 555 to 776 of the family's 1533-position model. The record is from RNAcentral.